This 410-nucleotide non-coding RNA is filed under the name Thermobrachium celere DSM 8682. RNAcentral's name for it is "Bacterial large subunit ribosomal RNA". It matches the Rfam family "Bacterial large subunit ribosomal RNA", at positions 1 to 416 of the family's 2925-position model. Lineage: Bacteria; Bacillati; Bacillota; Clostridia; Eubacteriales; Clostridiaceae. The record is from Rfam by way of RNAcentral.
GAUCAAGCUACAAAGGGCGCAUGGUGGAUGCCUUGGCACCAGGAGCCGAUGAAGGACGUGGUAAGCUGCGAAAAGCUGCGGGUAGCCGCAAACAGGCUGUGAUCCGCAGAUGUCCGAAUGGGGGAACCCGCAUGGCUAACGCCAUGCAUCCUUAGCUGAAUCCAUAGGCUAAGGAGGGCACACCCGGGGAACUGAAACAUCUAAGUACCCGGAGGAAAAGAAAGAAUAAUCGAUUCCCUAAGUAGCGGCGAGCGAAAGGGGAGGAGCCCAAACCAGAGGAAACUCUGGGGUUGCGGACAGGUCAAGAAAGCGAAGGAGUUCUUAGCCGAAUAGGUCUGGAAAGGCCAGCCACAGAAGGUAAAAGCCCUGUAGGCGAAAAGGACUUUGAGCGAGACCUGAUCCAGAGUACC